UACGCAUUACAUCAAGCUUCUGAGCAUUUGGAGGAAACCAAGGAUAGAAAAGUCCAGGCCUCCUCAUGGGAAUAGAACAUGGGGUAUGAAGACUUGCAUGGUCAUCCUAUGGACUGAAAUAGCAAGGUCUGCUGGAGUGAUGAAUAACCCCUCCCUACCAAGAAGGAGAUAACGAAGUUGUUUAAACACAGAUGUUCCAGGGUUGAGUGAAGAGCCAAAGAGGUGGCAUCUAUGGAAGACCUGUUGCUGUGGUUGGCAAGCUGAGUGGAUCCAAGUCACUUCUCAGACAGGAGUUCAUAUGUUUCAUCACCAACUUCUCAAAACACUUCAUCACUGUUCAUAUUUCCAGCAUCUACGUGUUUUUGACUGUCAUUAUCUAUUUUGUAAGUUCGUUGAACCAAGCUUCCUGAGUAGAGGGUUAAUAAGAAUCAGACGGGCUGCC
Hypanus sabinus (Atlantic stingray) is the source of this 442-nucleotide long non-coding RNA. RefSeq lists it as uncharacterized. The transcript has 4 exons. The record is from RefSeq and is a predicted model, not a curated record. Lineage: Eukaryota; Metazoa; Chordata; Chondrichthyes; Myliobatiformes; Dasyatidae.